CCUACGGGGGGCUGCAGUGGGGAAUAUUGGACAAUGGGGGCAACCCUGAUCCAGCCAUGCCGCGUGUGUGAAGAAGGCCCUCGGGUUGUAAAGCACUUUCAGUGAGGAAGAACGCCUGGUGGUUAAUACCCAUCAGGAAAGACAUCACUCACAGAAGAAGCACCGGCUAACUCCGUGCCAGCAGCCGCGGUAAUACGGAGGGUGCGAGCGUUAAUCGGAAUUACUGGGCGUAAAGCGCGCGUAGGUGGCUUGAUAAGCCGGUUGUGAAAGCCCCGGGCUCAACCUGGGAACGGCAUCCGGAACUGUCAAGCUAGAGUGAAGGAGAGGAAGGUAGAAUUCCCGGUGUAGCGGUGAAAUGCGUAGAGAUCGGGAGGAAUACCAGUGGCGCAGGCGGCCUUCUGGACUGACACUGACACUGAGGUGCGAAAGCGUGGGUAGCAAACAGGAUUAGAUACCCUUGUAGUC
RNAcentral lists this ribosomal RNA (465 nucleotides) under Vreelandella stevensii. RNAcentral's name for it is "partial 16S ribosomal RNA". It matches the Rfam family "Bacterial small subunit ribosomal RNA", at positions 338 to 795 of the family's 1533-position model. Lineage: Bacteria; Pseudomonadati; Pseudomonadota; Gammaproteobacteria; Oceanospirillales; Halomonadaceae. The record is from RNAcentral.